Long non-coding RNA from Misgurnus anguillicaudatus (oriental weatherfish), 1626 nucleotides. RefSeq lists it as uncharacterized. NCBI's taxonomy places the organism in Eukaryota, Metazoa, Chordata, Actinopteri, Cypriniformes, Cobitidae. The record is from RefSeq and is a predicted model, not a curated record.
UUUUGUGCAGUAUACACUUGUUGACUGCGACUUAGAUGCAAAAUCCACAACUGCUUUGUUUACUUUUACGUUUAUAAACGUGCAGUUUACACAAGACGUUUGGAUAAGAGUCAUCUACAAUCUCCAUGUCAAAUCAGUAUUACCGAGGUACCUUACGGUGGCGUCACAACAUAAGAUAUAUAUAACACACGCAGUUCAGUUUAGGUAUGCAAUGUCAAAAUCAGUCGGCUUUUUAAUCUUUGUACAUGAGAAAAGUAAACGUGCACCCGAGAAAGCGUUGAACUUUGAGCGUCAGGACCCGGAAGCGUGUUAUUUUAUUGUCACAUGGCUUGAAGAUUUCAAUAACAACAAAAAAUGGCGACAAUCACGUUGUUCGCAGUAGGCUUGCUGCGUCAUUAAAAAUAUUCACGUAAACAUUGGAGUUCGGCGUUGAAAAUGCAAGAAUGUUAGGCAGAUGUUUGUUGGAUUAUUUGGCAGGCGUUUCCACUGUCCUAUGAUGGCAACGACGCGCUGAUGGAGUUGUUUACAAGAAGAGAUUCGCACGGAGGGCGGGGAUGAUGUGGGCGGUGCCUAAAGGACCGUUGGACAGCCAAAGACCGCGUGCCAAGCAUAAAAGGCGGGAUCAGAGUUACAACAACAAGUCGGACGUCACAGGGGUGGUCCGUAUGAAUAAUUAAAACUAAGUAGGAAGGUGUUAAAUCUCAUGAUGUCAGACAGGGAGUCGCCUGUGCUUGGUUAUUCAGUACAAAAUUGUGAUUAAGUCAAGUUAUAUAUUAAUACUAUUACUACUACAAGAUCUGCAUUACAUAAAACAAUUGUAUGCUUUAAUGUAAGCCACGAUUGUUAAUAAAAAUUAUUUAUUACUUAUUACUAAAAUUUUAAUACAUGCCAAUGAAAUUACAUUUUUGCAAAACUUUUUUUAAGUACAAUUGUACAUUUUAAUACACACAAAAGUAAAUCACAAAACUGAUAUUUUAGUAAUGCAUAAUGCAAAUCAACAUGGACAAGAGGAUGGAUGAAGCACUACCAACCUGGCUCUGCUUGAUGUGACAGGCUGCCCUGGUUCAGUUAUCACAGUGCUGAUGCUGUCCAUCUUAAAGGUACAGUACUGUGAUAACUGAAGGAUGGCUGCCAUCUUGACAUCUAGCUACAGAAAGUUUUUGUUUUUAAGUGCAUAUAAUUGUUUCUGUGUUUGUCGUUUUUUUUUUUUGUAUUUUGAAAUUGUUUGAAUAAAAUUUGUAUGCCUUUUAAUAUAUAUAAUUUUCUAUUUUGUGGUAAAUUGUUGUUAAAGUAACAAAAUAAAAUUCUUAUUUUUUAAAAUACACAUUUUUUAAUAUCUUAUUUUUAUGUACACAAUGUUAAAUAAUAUUGUUUACACAUGGUUUGUGUUACCCUCUCUGCCUCAUAUCAAUAAAUCACAUAAUCACUGAAAUUCCCUGUACUGUAAGUAAAAAUAGAUCCUAUAUAAUACAGUAUAUUUAUCUUUUUACCACCCCCUAAAUCAAAACUCUGAUGAGUCAUCUGUACUGUACAUUCUUAAAUUGGGGAGAAGGGGACUAUUUAGUGCUUUCAGUGUGAUGCGUACAAUUAAAAUGUUUAUGUUUAAUAAUAAAUACCUUAACAUGU